Molecule: long non-coding RNA, 572 nt
Filed under: Olea europaea subsp. europaea
Lineage: Eukaryota; Viridiplantae; Streptophyta; Magnoliopsida; Lamiales; Oleaceae
Source: RNAcentral
UGUAUAUCAAGAUUUUGAAUUACCUAUUAUAUGAACAUAAUCAAAUCUGAAUUAAAUAAUUGAUCAAUACGAUUACACAUUGAACAUUAACCUUAAAAUUAGAACAAACAACAUGACACAUACACUACAACAUCAACACUGCUACUACACCUUCGAGACAUACUAUCAUCCCUACAACUUUCCAAGAACAACAACAACCUAUCAAAAUUCAUUCCAGAACACUAAAUGCUAUUUUGUUGCUUGAUCAUAAUAUUAUUGCAAUUUUCCACUUUUCUCUAUUUCCACCAAAGGUAGCCACUUCCAACUCACACCAUCACUCAAGCUACUACUUUGCCAUCUAAUUAUGCGGGUUCUGCAUCCCCAGCAGCCUUAAGUCUGAAUAAUGGUAUGGCCCGCGUUUAAUCCAACCAAAAUAGGUUUAUUUGGGGUUCAAUUGAGAAGAAGCUAGACAAAAUCAUUUGGAACUGAUUUGGGGAUGAAAAUCAAUUUAGAUUUUGCUACAAAGAUUGGGGAAUUGAAAUUUUUAUUUGAGAUGGGAAAAGCGUUUCUUUCAAUUGGAAGGAAAAAUCUAC